GAUGAACGCUGGCGGCGUGCCUAAUACAUGCAAGUCGAGCGAACGGACGAGAAGCUUGCUUCUCUGAUGUUAGCGGCGGACGGGUGAGUAACACGUGGAUAACCUACCUAUAAGACUGGGAUAACUUCGGGAAACCGUAGCUAAUACCGGAUAAUAUUUUGAACCGCAUGGUUCAGAAGUGAAAGACGGUCUUGCUGUCACUUAUAGAUGGGUCCGCGCUGCAUUAGCUAGUUGGUAAGGUAACGGCUUACCAAGGCAACGAUGCAUAGCCGACCUGAGAGGGUGAUCGGCCACACUGGAACUGGGACACGGUCCAGACUCCUACGGGAGGCAGCAGUAGGGAAUCUUCCGCAAUGGGCGAAAGCCUGACGGAGCAACGCCGCGUGAGUGAUGAAGGUCUUCGGAUCGUAAAACUCUGUUAUUAGGGAAGAACAUAUGUGUAAGUAACUGUGCACAUCUUGACGGUACCUAAUCAGAAAGCCACGGCUAACUACGUG
This 497-nucleotide ribosomal RNA is filed under the name uncultured bacterium. Its description in RNAcentral is "partial 16S ribosomal RNA". It matches the Rfam family "Bacterial small subunit ribosomal RNA", at positions 28 to 507 of the family's 1533-position model. The record is from RNAcentral.